This 200-nucleotide ribosomal RNA is filed under the name uncultured eukaryote. Its description in RNAcentral is "partial 18S ribosomal RNA". It matches the Rfam family "Eukaryotic small subunit ribosomal RNA", at positions 588 to 803 of the family's 1831-position model. The record is from RNAcentral.
GCUCCAGUAGCGUAUACUAAUGUUGCUGCAGUUAAAAAGCUCGUAGUUGGAUUUCUGGUUGAUAGUUUAGGUCCGGCCGAUCAAAAGGCUGCGUAUCUUUCGCUAUCUGCCAUCCUAUCGUGGUUGGAGCAAUCCAGGAUUACGAUACAUUUACUUUGAAAAAAUUAGAGUGUUUAAAGCAAGCUUGCGCGAUGAAUACA